RNAcentral lists this small nucleolar RNA (103 nucleotides) under Capsicum annuum. Its description in RNAcentral is "Small nucleolar RNA snoR100". It matches the Rfam family "Small nucleolar RNA snoR100". The record is from Rfam by way of RNAcentral. Lineage: Eukaryota; Viridiplantae; Streptophyta; Magnoliopsida; Solanales; Solanaceae.
GAAUGAAGGAAGCAUGGUAAUGUGCACAAAAACUGAACUAGAGUCGACGUGUUUGCUGCCUCUGAUUCCCCAUGAUUUUGGGGCCUGGUUUAGACCCACAUCC